This 650-nucleotide ribosomal RNA is filed under the name uncultured bacterium. RNAcentral's name for it is "bacterial SSU rRNA". It matches the Rfam family "Bacterial small subunit ribosomal RNA", at positions 1 to 663 of the family's 1533-position model. The record is from RNAcentral.
GGCUUAGAGUUUGAUCAUGGCUCAGGACGAACGCUGGCGGCGCGCCUAACACAUGCAAGUCGAACGGAACUUGAGAGAGCUUGCUUUUUCAAGUUUAGUGGCGAACGGGUGAGUAACGCGUGAGUAACCUGCCCUGGAGUGGGGGACAACAGUUGGAAACGACUGCUAAUACCGCAUAAGCCCACGAUCCGGCAUCGGAUUGGGGGAAAAGGAUUUAUUCGCUUCAGGAUGGACUCGCGUCCAAUUAGCUAGUUGGUGAGGUAACGGCCCACCAAGGCGACGAUUGGUAGCCGGACUGAGAGGUUGAACGGCCACAUUGGGACUGAGACACGGCCCAGACUCCUACGGGAGGCAGCAGUGGGGGAUAUUGCACAAUGGGGGAAACCCUGAUGCAGCGACGCCGCGUGGAGGAAGAAGGUUUUCGGAUUGUAAACUCCUGUCGUUAGGGACGAAUCAUGACGGUACCUAGCAAGAAAGCACCGGCUAACUACGUGCCAGCAGCCGCGGUAAAACGUAGGGUGCAAGCGUUGUCCGGAAUUACUGGGUGUAAAGGGAGCGCAGGCGGACCGGCAAGUUGGAAGUGAAAUCUAUGGGCUCAACCCAUAAAUUGCUUUCAAAACUGCUGGCCUUGAGUAGUGCAGAGGUAGGUG